UUGAAGAGUUUGAUCAUGGCUCAGAUUGAACGCUGGCGGCAGGCCUAACACAUGCAAGUCGAACGGUAACAGGAAGCAGCUUGCUGCUUCGCUGACGAGUGGCGGACGGGUGAGUAAUGUCUGGGAAACUGCCUGAUGGAGGGGGAUAACUACUGGAAACGGUAGCUAAUACCGCAUAACGUCGCAAGACCAAAGAGGGGGACCUUCGGGCCUCUUGCCAUCAGAUGUGCCCAGAUGGGAUUAGCUUGUUGGUGGGGUAACGGCUCACCAAGGCGACGAUCCCUAGCUGGUCUGAGAGGAUGACCAGCCACACUGGAACUGAGACACGGUCCAGACUCCUACGGGAGGCAGCAGUGGGGAAUAUUGCACAAUGGGCGCAAGCCUGAUGCAGCCAUGCCGCGUGUAUGAAGAAGGCCUUCGGGUUGUAAAGUACUUUCAGCGGGGAGGAAGGGAGUAAAGUUAAUACCUUUGCUCAUUGACGUUACCCGCAGAAGAAGCACCGGCUAACUCCGUGCCAGCAGCCGCGGUAAUACGGAGGGUGCAAGCGUUAAUCGGAAUUACUGGGCGUAAAGCGCACGCAGGCGGUUUGUUAAGUCAGAUGUGAAAUCCCCGGGCUCAACCUGGGAACUGCAUCUGAUACUGGCAAGCUUGAGUCUCGUAGAGGGGGGUAGAAUUCCAGGUGUAGCGGUGAAAUGCGUAGAGAUCUGGAGGAAUACCGGUGGCGAAGGCGGCCCCCUGGACGAAGACUGACGCUCAGGUGCGAAAGCGUGGGGAGCAAACAGGAUUAGAUACCCUGGUAGUCCACGCCGUAAACGAUGUCGACUUGGAGGUUGUGCCCUUGAGGCGUGGCUUCCGGAGCUAACGCGUUAAGUCGACCGCCUGGGGAGUACGGCCGCAAGGUUAAAACUCAAAUGAAUUGACGGGGGCCCGCACAAGCGGUGGAGCAUGUGGUUUAAUUCGAUGCAACGCGAAGAACCUUACCUGGUCUUGACAUCCACAGAACUUUCCAGAGAUGGAUUGGUGCCUUCGGGAACUGUGAGACAGGUGCUGCAUGGCUGUCGUCAGCUCGUGUUGUGAAAUGUUGGGUUAAGUCCCGCAACGAGCGCAACCCUUAUCCUUUGUUGCCAGCGGUCCGGCCGGGAACUCAAAGGAGACUGCCAGUGAUAAACUGGAGGAAGGUGGGGAUGACGUCAAGUCAUCAUGGCCCUUACGACCAGGGCUACACACGUGCUACAAUGGCGCAUACAAAGAGAAGCGACCUCGCGAGAGCAAGCGGACCUCAUAAAGUGCGUCGUAGUCCGGAUUGGAGUCUGCAACUCGACUCCAUGAAGUCGGAAUCGCUAGUAAUCGUGGAUCAGAAUGCCACGGUGAAUACGUUCCCGGGCCUUGUACACACCGCCCGUCACACCAUGGGAGUGGGUUGCAAAAGAAGUAGGUAGCUUAACCUUCGGGAGGGCGCUUACCACUUUGUGAUUCAUGACUGGGGUGAAGUCGUAACAAGGUAACCGUAGGGGAACCUGCGGUUGGAUCACCUCCUU
Molecule: ribosomal RNA, 1538 nt
Filed under: Escherichia coli
Lineage: Bacteria; Pseudomonadati; Pseudomonadota; Gammaproteobacteria; Enterobacterales; Enterobacteriaceae
Description: bacterial SSU rRNA
Rfam family: Bacterial small subunit ribosomal RNA
Source: RNAcentral